RNAcentral lists this ribosomal RNA (90 nucleotides) under Streptomyces griseoflavus. Its description in RNAcentral is "partial 16S ribosomal RNA". It matches the Rfam family "Bacterial small subunit ribosomal RNA", at positions 1 to 88 of the family's 1533-position model. The record is from RNAcentral. RNAcentral also lists the same sequence under 1 other name. Lineage: Bacteria; Bacillati; Actinomycetota; Actinomycetes; Kitasatosporales; Streptomycetaceae.
CAUUCACGGAGAGUUUGAUCCUGGCUCAGGACGAACGCUGGCGGCGUGCUUAACACAUGCAAGUCGAACGAUGAACCUCCUUCGGGAGGG